GUGUGCAACGGUUUCGGCGACUCGGUGCUUCCUCGUUACGCGAUGCGUCGAGGGAUCGUCGCGUUUCGCGAUUAUUUCUUCGUUCGACGUGUGUCCCGCGAGUGCCGGGAGUGCCGUGUGAACCGAGUGACAGGUAUCGUGCCCAUUAAUUCCCGAUUCGCGUCCGCGAGUGAAGAAACGAGCACGGAAACAAUGGGGAGACACCGGUGGUACUUUGGCCGUUUUAUCGACUCACCCGCCACACGACGUUCCUAUCACCGCUGUCAGAUGUCGGCAGCAUUGCAGGCACGCCGCUCGUCAACAAUCGAUGAUGGUUCGUGCCGCGCGAGUCGCGAGUGGUCGCGAGGCGUCCCGUAUAAUCGCGCGUUAACCGCUGCGUAAACGCGUUACGGUUUCCGCUGAAUUGUGCCCAUCGCGUAGUGUCGUCGAUCUCUCUUGGUGCGAUUCGGAGUCGUGUGUUAUGAGCCGGGAGGCGAAUUAUCGAGCCGUGCAAUCGUGAGAGAUUUCGCCACACGCGGCGCGUUCCUGUCACUUCACCCGCCAUCCCUCUCCUCCUCCCCCUCCCUCCCCUCCUCACCUUCCCACCCCUUUUCCGCCCGCUCUCCCUCGUUAUUUCGCGUCGCGCGGUUGUGCGUUUCGUCGUGUGUAUAACCGGCUCUAAUGCAACCGUGUCGCGAUUUUACCGCGUGAUCGUCGCGGAUUUUGAUCUCGCGUUCGCGGAAAACGCGAAUCUUCGACGUUCAUCAUAUCCGUCUGGAAAAGCUCCGUCAUCGGGGUGUCCGCCGAAAGGCGCCGAAGCUCCGUCGGUGGGGGAGGAAGAGGAGAAGGAGGUGGAGGUGGCUCGACAUCGUCAAGAGGGCUCGAGAGGGCGACCAACAGAGGAUACGGUUAACCGGGGAUGGCAGACCGCAGCAAAAUGUGAGUACUCUUUAUGCUGUAUCUAUUCGUGAACAAGCAACUUUGUGCAUGU
This is a non-coding RNA of Nylanderia fulva, 970 nucleotides long. Lineage: Eukaryota; Metazoa; Arthropoda; Insecta; Hymenoptera; Formicidae. The record is from RefSeq and is a predicted model, not a curated record.